UGUCUCCAGGGUAACCAAAAUGGCUAAGCUCUCCCUUAGACAGCCACAGAUCUCACCAGGCCUUCAGACUCAAAGCCAGUAGCACUGAUUUAGAAAGAGCUUGACUCCCUCAAAGACCACUGAAUGCUGGGAGAAAGGAGGCGGAGUCAGAGAGAAGCCAUGUAGCCCCACUUGAGACAGAUGCCUGAACAUUACCCGGAUAUUUUAUGAAGUGGCUGUUUUCUGGCAUGGAAGAAAAUGAAGCUCCCAAAUAAAUGGUGAAUCCAAGUCACAAGGACAAUUGCUUCAGUUUCCGUGGAUGGCUUACCCCACCCCCAAAACACGCAUCAAAUCAACAGCUGUUAACUGACUGCAUUUCCACUUCAAGGGUGAUUUUUUUUUAAUAAGCAAAAAAUAAAGCUAAAGGUACUCACUGAUGACUCAAAAAUGA
This is a long non-coding RNA of Arvicola amphibius (Eurasian water vole), 430 nucleotides long. RefSeq lists it as uncharacterized. Lineage: Eukaryota; Metazoa; Chordata; Mammalia; Rodentia; Cricetidae. The transcript is spliced from 2 exons. The record is from RefSeq and is a predicted model, not a curated record.